This 73-nucleotide transfer RNA is filed under the name Caudoviricetes sp. RNAcentral's name for it is "tRNA-Trp". It matches the Rfam family "tRNA". From Rfam's summary of the family: Transfer RNA (tRNA) molecules are approximately 80 nucleotides in length. Their secondary structure includes four short double-helical elements and three loops (D, anti-codon, and T loops). Further hydrogen bonds mediate the characteristic L-shaped molecular structure. tRNAs have two regions of fundamental functional importance: the anti-codon, which is responsible for specific mRNA codon recognition, and the 3' end, to which the tRNAs corresponding amino acid is attached (by aminoacyl-tRNA synthetases). tRNAs cope with the degeneracy of the genetic code in two manners: having more than one tRNA (with a specific anti-codon) for a particular amino acid; and 'wobble' base-pairing, i.e. permitting non-standard base-pairing at the 3rd anti-codon position. Lineage: Duplodnaviria; Heunggongvirae; Uroviricota; Caudoviricetes. The record is from RNAcentral.
GGGCUUGAGCCAGUGGUGGCGCUACGCUCUCCAAAAGCGAUAGCCGGGGGUUCGACUCCCUCCAAGUCUGCGA